Vitis riparia (riverbank grape) is the source of this 344-nucleotide long non-coding RNA. RefSeq lists it as uncharacterized. NCBI's taxonomy places the organism in Eukaryota, Viridiplantae, Streptophyta, Magnoliopsida, Vitales, Vitaceae. The record is from RefSeq and is a predicted model, not a curated record. The transcript is spliced from 3 exons.
UUGAAACGAAGCAUGACCGUGAAGAAAGAAAUUAUGUCAUUGAAAAUAACAUAACAAAUGGUGAAGGGUUAACCAUUUUCAAAUGCAUGGGACGUACAAUAGGAAAGUCAACAUCUCGUGUUCUUAGCACAGAAGAAUGGUCCCAAGCACAUUUAUAUGUGUUGACUAAUUGUGAGGAAGUGACGUCAUUUAUUGAAGAGCAUAAGCAAUCUAUAAGGGUUAAGCCUCGUAUUCGUGCACGAGAUGUAGAUUUGAUUCACAGAAGAGAAUUCAUUAGUUGGUUUGAAGAACGUAUUAUACAAAUGCGACAUGAAGGUCCAAUUUCUGAACACAUACUAUCAUUG